AAUCUCUCUCUUGAUUAUUCGGGGUAUUCCAAUGGCAACAGUUCUGUCUCCUCUUCUUCUUCUUCUUCAUGUUUUAUCGUCACUCUUUCUCUCUCUUCAUGUCUUUGUCUGUCUUCAUACGGUGGCCGCUGCUCGAGUGAGGAACCUGCCUGAAGUGGGGUCGAUUAUAAGCCGUAGUUUGCUUGACAAUGGUCUUGGAUUAACUCCUCCUAUGGGGUGGAACAGUUGGAACCACUUCCACUGUAACAUUAAUGAGAAGUUGAUCCGUGACACCGCUGAUGCACUGGUGUAUACUGGGCUUGCAACCUUGGGAUAUACUUACGUUAACUUAGAUGAUUGUUGGGGGCAACAAGAUAGGGACUCUCAGGGCAACCUAGUCCCAAAAGCCUCAACUUUCCCCUCAGGCAUCAAGGCUCUAGCUGAUUAUGUCCAUGGGAAGGGCCUCAAGCUGGGAAUUUACUCUGAUGCUGGGAAACAAACUUGCAGCCAGACCAUGCCAGGAUCACUUGGAUAUGAGGAUCAAGAUGCAAAAACAUUUGCUUCAUGGGGUAUUGACUACUUGAAAUAUGAUAAUUGUAACAAUGACGGCGUAGAUCCAAGAGAGAGGUACCCCAAGAUGAGCAAAGCUCUACUCAACUCUGGGAGGUCCAUCUUUUUCUCCUUGUGUGAAUGGGGAGACCAAAACCCAGCGACUUGGGCACCAGCCAUUGGGAAUAGCUGGAGAACAACGGGAGACAUCAAGGAUGAAUGGUCAAGUAUGACUAAUACAGCCGAUUCAAAUGAUGCAUGGGCCAAGUAUGCCGGACCAGGAGCUUGGAACGACCCUGACAUGCUAGAAGUUGGGAACGGGGGCAUGACAACGGAGGAGUAUCGUUCGCAUUUCAGCAUCUGGGCUUUAGUUAAGGCUCCACUUUUGAUUGGAUGUGAUGUCGGGUCAGCCUCCAAGGAAACUUUGGAGAUCCUUAGCAACAAAGAGGUCAUCGCCGUCAAUCAAGAUAAGCUUGGAGUUCAGGGAAAGAAGGUUAAAAAGGAGGGAGAUCAAGAGUCCGAUUCCACUCGAGAAUCAUUCGAGUCAGACAAAGAGGAUCAGAAUCGGACCCUAUUGAGGUUUGGGCUGGUCCACUUAGUGGUGGAAGGGUGGCCAUGAUCCUUUGGAAUAGGGGCUCCUACCAAACUUCUAUAACUGCCAAGUGGGAGGACGUGGGCUUAAAAUCAACAGCCACUGUUGAUGCGCGAGAUUUAUGGGCGCACUCAACAAUGUCAUCCAUCAAGGGCCAAUUGACUGCCACUGUAGAUUCUCAUGCUUGCAAAAUGUAUGUUCUCACACCAGUCAAUUAGUGGAGGAGCAUAAACCCUAACCAAAACAUAAAUUUCAAAGAUAAAGAUGGAAAAUAAAUCAUCUGUCCCCCUCCCCCUAUGUAGGUGGUCUUCAUGUUAAACCCAUUAAAGAAAGCACUGCUGUGUAUGUAUUUUAUACUUGAAAUAAUGUUUGAAGUGGGCAAGAAAGAUGGACACAAGUUAUGUAGAAUGGAUUUGUACAGCAAUUUAUAUGCAAUGAAUCAUUGGGGAGUUCCAAGAGC
Molecule: non-coding RNA, 1580 nt
Organism: Amborella trichopoda
Lineage: Eukaryota; Viridiplantae; Streptophyta; Magnoliopsida; Amborellales; Amborellaceae
Source: RefSeq, a predicted model, not a curated record